ACCCGUAAGGCGCAAGGAA
Molecule: small nuclear RNA, 19 nt
Filed under: Arabidopsis thaliana (thale cress)
Lineage: Eukaryota; Viridiplantae; Streptophyta; Magnoliopsida; Brassicales; Brassicaceae
Description: snRNA_01702
Source: RNAcentral